Onychostoma macrolepis is the source of this 927-nucleotide long non-coding RNA. RefSeq lists it as uncharacterized. Lineage: Eukaryota; Metazoa; Chordata; Actinopteri; Cypriniformes; Cyprinidae. The transcript is spliced from 4 exons. The record is from RefSeq and is a predicted model, not a curated record.
AAAACAGAAUGAGCCCUCGUGAUUGUCGAGUGCAGCCGAUCAGUGUUUGUUUGUGAACUUGUGCGUGUCUGACAGACUUCCAGAUCACGAGGCAUACGCGCGCAAUCUUUUACGCGAACAUUCGGCGCGAUCAUGCGUGAAGACGAGGAGCGCCGACGGUGCGCAUUAUCCCGCGUGAUGACGCUCCAGCUCCAGCUUGUUUGAGGGUUGGUCUUUAUCUGUGCUCAGAGUUGAUCCUGACGAGGGAAAAGGUGCAGGGCUGUAAAAUUGAAAGAAGAAAUACAUCAAAGAGGGGUAAUGAACCUUGUCCAAUCCCAGCUCGGCCGAAAGGCGCUCUGGGCCAAGAGAUGUGGAGAAUUCUGAUGAAGCCGUUUUCUUUACCGGAGCAAUGGCCUGGGAAUGUGUGUGUGGCUGGCCGUGCAGCUCAGAUGUCGGGAGUAAAUGACGACUGCUAUAUUCAUUAUUACAUCCAACAACAAAACACCUCAAUCGCUUAAUCGGAGACAUCCUUGUCUUCCCCUGCACCAGAGUCGACACAGUGGCGGACAGCUCUCAGCUCACUCAGGGCGGGUCUAAGGCACUAUGAGACAGAGGUUUUUGGCUCUCUGACUUCGUAUCAUUUUAAGCCGCAAAGAGGAUUACAUGCACAAAUCCAAACAAAGCAACAGACGAAUAGUGAGGUGCGAUGUUUCAACUGCCUGAGAAGAGCUAUCGGAAAUAUGUUUACAGGGAUAUAAUGUAAACAGUGUAUUUUUGUAUAAAAUGUCAAUGCAUCACUUGAAAUUAUUUUUUUAUGAUAGAGCUAAACAUUUGCUAUUAUAACUCAUCUUCGGCAUUAUGUUACUUUGUGAAAAAUAAACCAUGCAGAUUUAUACAUUUAAAGAGAUAGUCCACCAAAAAAAUGAAAACCUGUGUGAUUUUCUUUAU